AAGGCCUUAGCUUAAUUAAAGUGCCUGUUUUGCAUGCAGGUGAUGUGGGAUAGUGUCCCGCAGGUUUUA
Molecule: transfer RNA, 69 nt
Filed under: Johnius amblycephalus (bearded croaker)
Lineage: Eukaryota; Metazoa; Chordata; Actinopteri; Sciaenidae
Description: tRNA-Ala
Rfam family: tRNA
About the family: Transfer RNA (tRNA) molecules are approximately 80 nucleotides in length. Their secondary structure includes four short double-helical elements and three loops (D, anti-codon, and T loops).
Source: RNAcentral